RNAcentral lists this ribosomal RNA (571 nucleotides) under uncultured bacterium. RNAcentral describes it as "bacterial SSU rRNA". It matches the Rfam family "Bacterial small subunit ribosomal RNA", at positions 34 to 600 of the family's 1533-position model. The record is from RNAcentral.
CGCUGGCGGCAUGCCUUACACAUGCAAGUCGAACGGCAGCACGGGGGCAACCCUGGUGGCGAGUGGCGAACGGGUGAGUAAUACAUCGGAACGUGUCCUGUAGUGGGGGAUAGCCCGGCGAAAGCCGGAUUAAUACCGCAUACGACCUGAGGGAGAAAGCGGGGGAUCUUCGGACCUCGCGCUGGAGGGGCGGCCGAUGGCAGAUUAGCUAGUUGGUGGGGUAAAGGCCUACCAAGGCGACGAUCUGUAGCUGGUCUGAGAGGACGACCAGCCACACCGGGACUGAGACACGGCCCAGACUCCUACGGGAGGCAGCAGUGGGGAAUUUUGGACAAUGGGGGCAACCCUGAUCCAGCAAUGCCGCGUGUGUGAAGAAGGCCUUCGGGUUGUAAAGCACUUUUGUCCGGGAAGAAAACCAACUGGCUAAUAUCCGGGUGGGAUGACGGUACCGGAAGAAUAAGCACCGGCUAACUACGUGCCAGCAGCCGCGGUAAUACGUAGGGUGCGAGCGUUAAUCGGAAUUACUGGGCGUAAAGCGUGCGCAGGCGGUUUGUUAAGACCGAUGUGAAAU